CUCUCAAUACUUGUUAUGUUGUCAUACACACUUGGCAAUCCUAACCAGAUGUCAUGUUCUCUACUUAGUUCGAUGCCGUGAACAUAUAAAUAAGAUAUUACACAUUCUUUUUUGCAUUCAAGUUUAAUAUGUUGAUUAACAUCAAUUUCUUCAUCUAAACAAAGUUCUGCCACUGUCUGGUUAUCAGACAAAUAUGAAUGAUCCAAAGAGACUGAAUCCACACUGGUGCAUGUAAGCUCUUCUGUUUCAGAUGACAAAAGAUCUUCAUCAUGUGCGAUGUCUGGCGUAAGUGCAUGUAUUUCAGUGCAUGUAUGCAUUAUUUCAGUUUGCCCUUUGUCUAAUUUUGGUUUGCCAGUUCCACGUCUUUUCCUGUGAUAUGGCACAUUCUACCUUUACUUCCUCUUAGGCAUUCUAUAAAGUAAUGAGGACAGAAAUUAAUAAACAGAAGAAAAA
RNAcentral lists this long non-coding RNA (453 nucleotides) under Mytilus galloprovincialis (Mediterranean mussel). The record is from RNAcentral. Lineage: Eukaryota; Metazoa; Mollusca; Bivalvia; Mytilida; Mytilidae.